CUUUACUAAUGAUAUCAUGCAGAAAAUUCGCACAGUUGAGCAGGACGGAAAGACCAUCAAAC
RNAcentral lists this small RNA (62 nucleotides) under Arabidopsis thaliana (thale cress). Its description in RNAcentral is "ATSL292520". Lineage: Eukaryota; Viridiplantae; Streptophyta; Magnoliopsida; Brassicales; Brassicaceae. The record is from RNAcentral.